CAGGCGGUUUGUUAAGUCAGAUGUGAAAUCCCCGGGCUCAACCUGGGAACUGCAUCUGAUACUGGCAAGCUUGAGUCUCGUAGAGGGGGGUAGAAUUCCAGGUGUAGCGGUGAAAUGCGUAGAGAUCUGGAGGAAUACCGGUGGCGAAGGCGGCCCCCUGGACGAAGACUGACGCUCAGGUGCGAAAGCGUGGGGAGCAAACAGGAUUAGAUACCCUGGUAGUCCACGCCGUAAACGAUGUCGACUUGGAGGUUGUGCCCUUGAGGCGUGGCUUCCGGAGCUAACGCGUUAAGUCGACCGCCUGGGGAGUACGGCCGCAAGGUUAAAACUCAAAUGAAUUGACGGGGGCCCGCACAAGCGGUGGAGCAUGUGGUUUAAUUCGAUGCAACGCGAAGAACCUUACCUGGUCUUGACAUCCACGGAAGUUUUCAGA
RNAcentral lists this ribosomal RNA (433 nucleotides) under Escherichia coli. RNAcentral describes it as "bacterial SSU rRNA". It matches the Rfam family "Bacterial small subunit ribosomal RNA", at positions 572 to 1004 of the family's 1533-position model. The record is from RNAcentral. Lineage: Bacteria; Pseudomonadati; Pseudomonadota; Gammaproteobacteria; Enterobacterales; Enterobacteriaceae.